AUUGAACGCUGGCGGCAGGCCUAACACAUGCAAGUCGAAUGGUAACAGGAAACAGCUUGCUGUUUCGCUGACGAGUGGCGGACGGGUGAGUAAUGUCUGGGAAACUGCCUGAUGGAGGGGGAUAACUACUGGAAACGGUAGCUAAUACCGCAUAACGUCGCAAGACCAAAGAGGGGGUCCUUCGGGCCUCUUGCCAUCAGAUGUGCCCAGAUGGGAUUAGCUAGUAGGUGGGGUAACGGCUCACCUAGGCGACGAUCCCUAGCUGGUCUGAGAGGAUGACCAGCCACACUGGAACUGAGACACGGUCCAGACUCCUACGGGAGGCAGCAGUGGGGAAUAUUGCACAAUGGGCGCAAGCCUGAUGCAGCCAUGCCGCGUGUAUGAAGAAGGCCUUCGGGUUGUAAAGUACUUUCAGCGGGGAGGAAGGGAGUAAAGUUAAUACCUUUGCUCAUUGACGUUACCCGCAGAAGAAGCACCGGCUAACUCCGUG
This 490-nucleotide ribosomal RNA is filed under the name uncultured bacterium. RNAcentral's name for it is "partial 16S ribosomal RNA". It matches the Rfam family "Bacterial small subunit ribosomal RNA", at positions 30 to 507 of the family's 1533-position model. The record is from RNAcentral.